Molecule: ribosomal RNA, 791 nt
Filed under: uncultured Lactobacillus sp.
Lineage: Bacteria; Bacillati; Bacillota; Bacilli; Lactobacillales; Lactobacillaceae
Description: bacterial SSU rRNA
Rfam family: Bacterial small subunit ribosomal RNA
Source: RNAcentral
GAUGAACGCGGCGGUGUGCCUAAUACAUGCAAGUCGAACGCGUUGGCCCAAUUGAUUGAUGGUGCUUGCACCUGAUUGAUUUUGGUUGCCAGCGAGUGGCGGACGGGUGAGUAACACGUAGGUAACCUGCCCAGAAGCGGGGGACAACAUUUGGAAACAGAUGCUAAUACCGCAUAACAGUGUUGUUCGCAUGAACAACGCUUAAAAGAUGGCUUCUCGCUAUCACUUCUGGAUGGACCUGCGGUGCAUUAGCUUGUUGGUGGGGUAACGGCCUACCAAGGCGAUGAUGCAUAGCCGAGUUGAGAGACUGAUCGGCCACAAUGGGACUGAGACACGGCCCAUACUCCUACGGGAGGCAGCAGUAGGGAAUCUUCCACAAUGGGCGCAAGCCUGAUGGAGCAACACCGCGUGAGUGAAGAAGGGUUUCGGCUCGUAAAGCUCUGUUGUUAAAGAAGAACACGUAUGAGAGUAACUGUUCAUGCGUUGACGGUAUUUAACCAGAAAGUCACGGCUAACUACGUGCCAGCAGCCGCGGUAAUACGUAGGUGGCAAGCGUUAUCCGGAUUUAUUGGGCGUAAAGAGAGUGCAGGCGGUUUUCUAAGUCUGAUGUGAAAGCCUUCGGCUUAACCGGAGAAGUGCAUCGGAAACUGGAUAACUUGAGUGCAGAAGAGGGUAGUGGAACUCCAUGUGUAGCGGUGGAAUGCGUAGAUAUAUGGAAGAACACCAGUGGCGAAGGCGGCUACCUGGUCUGCAACUGACGCUGAGACUCGAAAGCAUGGGUAGCGAACAGG